RNAcentral lists this long non-coding RNA (790 nucleotides) under Equus caballus (horse). Its description in RNAcentral is "lncRNA (ENSECAG00000053302.1)". Lineage: Eukaryota; Metazoa; Chordata; Mammalia; Perissodactyla; Equidae. The record is from RNAcentral.
AGAUGCUGUUCAUUCCUUUUUCUGGCCUGAUUGCACUAGCUAGAACUUCUAGCAAAGUGUUGAACAGAAGAGUUCCAAUGCAUAGGCCAAAUUACCACAGGGCUCUUUUACCGGAGGAAGACCUUGCUCUGCCUAAGGCGAAAGGAAUGGGAUUCAGCUGAACCAGGAGGCAGCUCAGUCCGUUUUUAAGACAUUCUGUUUUGAAGAGAACAUUUAAUGUCACUCUACCAAAUUCUGUCCUUCUUAAGACAGAAAACACUUCAACUAUACAACAAAAAGCCAAACCAAAACACCGACGAAGCAAAGUAGAAUCUUCUAAAUGAUAUAUUCCAAAGGUAUUAUCUAUUAAUAUAAAGGUCAGCUGACAGUGCUCUCAUAAGAAGUAAUUCCGUUUUGAUGAUGUCUUCUAUCAGCUACUCAAAGGACCAGAAUUGCUCUUCUAACCUAGAGAGAUAGAAAAAUCUAUUCUUGCCAAACAUUUCUGUAUUUUUUCCUCAAAAAUUUUCCUAUUGCAAAAGCAGUAUAUAUAUUCAUUGCAUUCUUUCUAAACAUAUGUUACUAGUGUUUCCAUAUAAAAUAUAACUCUGAAUAAAGAUAUUUGAUGAAAGCCUUUCUUUUUCACUUUAGAAUCUCAUUCUCUAACUAGAGAAUGCAAUUACUUUCCAAAAACUAGGCAUACUGAAAUGAAGUAAAUGACUUUAUUAUGUGUAUGUAUCAUCCACUUGACUUAUUUUCUUACUCUUCAGUUCUCUGAAAUUAUAAAUGUGGAGAAUAAAAAUUGUAAAAGGAA